GAACACUUAGUGCUAAUAGAGCGCCAGCAAGCCUGAAUUAAACAGUGCGAGCUGCGCAGCACUGGUUACUGUUAGAUUUGUUCCCAUCCUGAAAAAUCAUUUGAAGUAUCAGUGCGUGUGGCUGCCGUGGAUUUGUUUGUACCCCAGGACUAGGAUCCUCUGCGAAGUUAUAUGCAAAACUGUUUACAAAUAGACAUUUCACCCACAGAAAAUCUUUCCAAAUCCAGUUGUAACAGAGAGAUGAGACAGCGAGGGGGAAAGGCACACGAAGCGUAUUACUCAAGCAUAUGAUUUGGAGUUACGAUGCUUGAACUCGGGAAGAACAUGAAGUUGACUUUAUGGAUGACCCUAAAUUUGCACCUUUGGGUGUUUCAGAGGCAUUAAUACACAAGCAGGGUCCAGUUCCAGCCUUUACUCGGGUAAAGCUACCUUAGAUAGCCACGAAACUUCGCCUCAAUAAGGACUGCCAGCUUGACUUUCCAUCCCUUCACCUCCCAGCUGAAAUCCUUCCAGUGAUUGCCUUAAAUUUCCUGACUGAAGCAAGGGAAGACUGGUGAAAAGCACAAAGAAAGGUUGGCAUUUAAAGGGAGAUGUUCAACUGAUACAGAACAGCUCCGCUGACAUCAUUGGUAGCUACAGCAAUUGAUAUCAGCUGAUGAUCUGCCCUUUAUAUUCCAAGAACCCCAGAGUGCUGGGUCACUUUGGCAUCCAUAAGCUGAUUUUUUUCCUCUGCCUCAAAAAGUUGUUCUGAGGGGACCUGGAUGAAUAACGGUGUAUGCGUCAGGUUAACAAUUCGUCACAUUUAAAAGAUUUUAUUGAAUCUUCCCUGAUUUUGGUGCUCCAUCGUGCAACUCUCACUGGAGUCAGGAAGAGGUUUUCCAUUCAAAAGUCAGCUGUGAAUUAAAGAAAGGAUUGUAUGGAAAUUUGAAACCGCACACAGACAAGUCCAACCCUGAGAGGCAAAGGAGAAGUUGUGGCUCCAUUUGAUGUCCAUCCCUUAUUUCUCAGAACAGCUAUAAGAACAGCGCUUCCCGAUGACUUCUGACAAUUUGCAUAGAUAAUUAACUUGCACAGAUUGAAAACCCGCAAUAAAUAGUUUCCCCUA
Calidris pugnax (ruff) is the source of this 1105-nucleotide long non-coding RNA. RefSeq lists it as uncharacterized. The record is from RefSeq and is a predicted model, not a curated record. The transcript has 5 exons. NCBI's taxonomy places the organism in Eukaryota, Metazoa, Chordata, Aves, Charadriiformes, Scolopacidae.